GACGAACGCUGGCGGCGUGCUUAACACAUGCAAGUCGAGCGAUGAGAUCACUUCGGUGAAGGAUUAGCGGCGGACGGGUGAGGAACACGUGAAGAAUCUGCCUUCAACUCCGGGAUAACUCCGGGAAACCGGGGCUAAUACCGGAUAUGAGCCUUGAUCGCAUGAUCGGGGCUGGAAAGUUUUUCGGUUGAAGAUGACUUCGCGGCCUAUCAGCUUGUUGGUGAGGUAAUGGCUCACCAAGGCGACGACGGGUAGCCGGCCUGAGAGGGCGACCGGCCACACUGGGACUGAGACACGGCCCAGACUCCUACGGGAGGCAGCAGUGGGGAAUAUUGGGCAAUGGAGGAAACUCUGACCCAGCGACGCCGCGUGCGGGAUGAAGGCCUUCGGGUUGUAAACCGCUUUCAGCAGGGAAUAAGCGCAAGUGAAGGU
RNAcentral lists this ribosomal RNA (432 nucleotides) under uncultured Actinomycetales bacterium. RNAcentral describes it as "bacterial SSU rRNA". It matches the Rfam family "Bacterial small subunit ribosomal RNA", at positions 28 to 476 of the family's 1533-position model. Lineage: Bacteria; Bacillati; Actinomycetota; Actinomycetes; Actinomycetales. The record is from RNAcentral.